UACAUGGGGUGCAAACGUUGCUCGGAAUUAUUGGGCGUAAAGCGCGCGUAGGCGGUUACUCAAGUCGGAUGUGAAAGCCCUCGGCUUAACUGAGGAAGUGCACCCGAAACUGAGUAGCUAGAGUACUAAAGAGGGUCGCGGAAUUCCCGGUGUAGAGGUGAAAUUCGUAGAUAUCGGGAGGAACACCGGUGGCGAAGGCGGCGACCUGGGUAGAUACUGACGCUGAGGAACGAAAGCUAGGGGAGCGAACGGG
Molecule: ribosomal RNA, 253 nt
Filed under: uncultured bacterium
Lineage: Bacteria
Description: partial 16S ribosomal RNA
Rfam family: Bacterial small subunit ribosomal RNA
Source: RNAcentral